Molecule: long non-coding RNA, 695 nt
Filed under: Homo sapiens (human)
Lineage: Eukaryota; Metazoa; Chordata; Mammalia; Primates; Hominidae
Description: HSALNT0405212
Source: RNAcentral
UGUGGAGUGAGUCUCAGGACCUUGACAUGGGAGGAACAAAACUUUUCUUGCUUUUUUGGUGCACCCUGGGCUGAAAUAAGAAAACCACCAGGAGUGAGUCUUCAAAGCAGAGUCAACCCAGGUGAGCGGAGUGGUGGGGAGGGUUUAAAAAAAACACAGAUGGAGAGGAGCACGUUCUCUCUCUCAGAUAAGAUCUCAUCCAGUGGGGAGAACCAUGCGUGCUCAGGAUGGGAUGCCUGCCUCAGAAUCCCCUGGAAUAUGGAUUUCCACUCCACCCAUCUUCUGCUACAGCAAUGGAAUUGGUUUCUAUCAAGGUGAGACUGAGGUGCUGGGCAGGUUGACCAUCACCUCCCAAGUGAUGAAGCAGCUGGCUGGGGAUGUGGAUGGGAAGGAGCUCAGAGGCUGCCCCAACCUUCAAUUUUUCUUUAAUGUUGGUUUCCCUGUUAGAAUGAAAGCUCAGUGAAGCACAUCUUGUUCACAAUUGCAUUACCACCACCGCGUACCAUGACAGGCUCACAGGAGGCAUUUAUUAAGUGAUUGCUGGCUGAUGUCCUCACGCUUCCACCUAUGACCACCUGUGGCUUAUUCCCAUUUUCUAGGGGAGCCCCUGAGGCUCAGAAGGGGGAGAUGAUUUGCUCAAGGCCAUGCUGGUGGAAAAUGAAAAAGCUGGGUUUGAACCCAGGGCUCUAUCCCAC